Molecule: ribosomal RNA, 520 nt
Filed under: uncultured Entrophospora
Lineage: Eukaryota; Fungi; Glomeromycota; Glomeromycetes; Entrophosporales; Entrophosporaceae
Description: SSU rRNA
Rfam family: Eukaryotic small subunit ribosomal RNA
Source: RNAcentral
AGCAGCCGCGGUAAUUCCAGCUCCAAUAGCGUAUAUUAAAGUUGUUGCAGUUAAAAAGCUCGUAGUUGAAUUUCGGGAUUGACACAUCGGUCGUGCCUUAAGGGGUAUGAACUGGUGUAGUCAAUUUCUCACCUUCUGGAGAACCGCGAUGCCCUUAAUUGGGUGUCGCGGGGAACCAGGACCUUUACUUUGAAAAAAUUAGAGUGUUUAAAGCAGGCAUUUUGCUUGAAUACAUUAGCAUGGAAUGAUAAAAUAGGACGGCAUGAUUCUAUUUUGUUGGUUUCUAGGAUCACCGUAAUGAUUAAUAGGGAUAGUUGGGGGCAUUAGUAUUCAAUUGUCAGAGGUGAAAUUCUUGGAUUUAUUGAAGACUAACUACUGCGAAAGCAUUUGCCAAGGAUGUUUUCAUUAAUCAAGAACGAAAGUUAGGGGAUCGAAGACGAUCAGAUACCGUCGUAGUCUUAACCAUAAACUAUGCCGACUAGGAAUCAGACGAUGUUAAUUUUUAAUGACUCGUUUGGCG